RNAcentral lists this ribosomal RNA (484 nucleotides) under uncultured bacterium. RNAcentral's name for it is "partial 16S ribosomal RNA". It matches the Rfam family "Bacterial small subunit ribosomal RNA", at positions 30 to 507 of the family's 1533-position model. The record is from RNAcentral.
AUUGAACGCUGGCGGCAGGCCUAACACAUGCAAGUCGAGCGGAUGAAGGGAGCUUGCUCCUGGAUUCAGCGGCGGACGGGUGAGUAAUGCCUAGGAAUCUGCCUGGCAGUGGGGGAUAACGUCCGGAAACGGGCGCUAAUACCGCAUACGUCCUGAGGGAGAAAGUGGGGGAUCUUCGGACCUCACGCUAUCAGAUGAGCCUAGGUCGGAUUAGCUAGUUGGUGGGGUAAAGGCCUACCAAGGCGACGAUCCGUAACUGGUCUGAGAGGAUGAUCAGUCACACUGGAACUGAGACACGGUCCAGACUCCUACGGGAGGCAGCAGUGGGGAAUAUGGGGCAAUGGGCGAAAGCCUGAUCCAGCCAGGCCGCGUGUGUGAAGAAGGUCUUCGGAUUGUAAAGCACUUUAAGGUGGGAGGAAGGGCAGUAAGUUAAUACCUUGCUGUUUUGACGUUACCAGCAGAAUAAGCACCGGCUAACUACGUG